Oncorhynchus gorbuscha (pink salmon) is the source of this 789-nucleotide long non-coding RNA. RefSeq lists it as uncharacterized. The transcript has 5 exons. The record is from RefSeq and is a predicted model, not a curated record. Lineage: Eukaryota; Metazoa; Chordata; Actinopteri; Salmoniformes; Salmonidae.
CACACCCGGGCUGACUCCUUCCCUCACACGCCUACUAUCCACUUUCGCCUGAGACCGCAGCCAGCGCAGGGCUCAGUUUUUUAUUUGAUUUUUUAUUUGCCUUGCUUGCUUUGGGUCUUUCCCUCUUGUACAGCGAGACGAGUCCCAUUUCACCCCUCCUCUGCCCCUUAAAACAUAGGCCCUGGAUUGUCCCUGCAUCAGACUGCAUGCUACCAAUUGAUUUGUGCAUCUACUCCUCCCUAUUAUUUGAGCUCUUUAUAUUAAAAAUUGCUCUCUAGCUUUAAUGUAAAAUUCGGUUCAUUUUGAGUAAUUUUUUUCACAUACCCAUUCUGGAAGAGAGGACGAAGAAAAGAAGAGAACGCUCACGGAAUGGACAGAUGAAAGGGGACAGCAGAAAAAAAGAGUGAGAAAAUGGAGAGCAUGUUCUGUGGGAGAGCAAGAGAGACCUGACCUAUGCACCCAACAUUGCCAAUCCCAUUCCAUGUAGCCCAAGACCUGAAAAGAAUGCUGUGGUCUACUCUUGUCUUGAGUCCGUGGAAACUUCCCACUAAGGAGUAACAAUGGAAAGAAUUUCAGUCCAGCCUAAGUAAGGUAACAUCUCUGGCAAGUUUGGAGGUUUAGAGAUGAGCCAUUAUGAGGUGGAGCCAUUCACCAACCCAACACACAACACAAUUAUAUGGUAUCCAAACUAGUGGCAGAUUGACUCUUUCUUUCAGGGAUCGUCAUAAGACAAUGACCCAAAACACACCUCCAGGCUGUGUAAGGGCUAUUUGACCAAGAAGGAGAGUG